GGUCACAGAGCCUGUUGCCAGGCAGCCUCCCGAUGCCGGCUUUCCUGGCAGGACCAGGGCCUCUGCCUCCCUCCAGGGUCAGGGCCACCUGCUUCCUCAGCCCAGCGAGGCGAGGGCCCGGCGUGGCAGGCUGUCUGGGCUUCGGCCGCAGGCGGCUCCUCCCGCCGCCCUCGGGCUGCGUCUCUGUCCCCCGUGCUGCCCAGGCCCUCUGGGCCCAGCGGACUCUCGCCGUGGGUCCCCAGUGCGGCGCCUGCCUUCCCCUCAGUCCAGGCUCACAGUGGCCGCCAGGUCCACUCCUUGUCAGACGUCUGCACCGCGAGCCGCCUUGCGAGACCACCCGUCUCAAGAGGGAGCGGAGACCCAUGGCCACUUCCAACAGCUCUGCGCGUGUUUGCGGAUGAGCGAGGGGCGAAUGAACGGCCCUGGGUCCCCGUCAGCUCGCUCAUCAGCUCGGAUUCCGGGCCUGGCCGUCACCACCACUGGAGGGGACAUGUCCACGGGAGGCGGGGCUGGCUGCCCCACUGUGGGAGGGGACAUGUCCACCAUGGGAGGGGACACGCCCACGGGAGGCGGGGCUGGCUGUCCUCACCACUGGACGGGACGUGUCCACGGGAGGCGGGGCUGGCUGUCCUCACCACGGGAGGGGACAUGUCCACCAUGGGAGGGGACACGCCCACGGGAGGCGGGGCUGGCUGUCCUCACCACUGGACGGGACAUGUCCACGGGAGGCGGGGCUGGCUGUCCUCACCACGGGAGGGGACAUGUCCACCAUGGGAGGGGACACGCCCACGGGAGGUGGGGCUGGCUGUCCUCACCACGGGAGGGGACAUGUCCACGGGAGGCGGGGCUGGCUGUCCUCACCACGGGAGGGGACAUGUCCACCAUGGGAGGGGACACGCCCACGGGAGGUGGGGCUGGCUGUCCACACCACUGGACAGGACAUGUCCACGGGAGGCGGGGCUGGCUGCCCCACCAUGGGAAGGGACAUGUCCACCAUGGGAGGGCUGGGUGAGCCCACGGGAGGCAGGGAUGGCUGCCCCACCGUGGGAGGGGACAUGUCCACCAUGGGAGGGCUGGGUGAGCCCACGGGAGGCAGGGAUGGCUGUCCCACCGUGGGAGGGGACAUGUCCACGGGAGGCGGGGCUGGCUGCCCCACCAUGGGAGGGGACAUGUCCCUGGGAGGCGGGCUGGCCCUCAGAUUGUCCCUCCCCACCAGUAACCCCCAGAGAGGUUCUGUGCUCACCCUGUGGACCUGCUUGGUGA
RNAcentral lists this long non-coding RNA (1263 nucleotides) under Oryctolagus cuniculus (rabbit). Its description in RNAcentral is "lncRNA (ENSOCUG00000030964.1)". The record is from RNAcentral. Lineage: Eukaryota; Metazoa; Chordata; Mammalia; Lagomorpha; Leporidae.